This 425-nucleotide ribosomal RNA is filed under the name uncultured bacterium. RNAcentral's name for it is "bacterial SSU rRNA". It matches the Rfam family "Bacterial small subunit ribosomal RNA", at positions 354 to 796 of the family's 1533-position model. The record is from RNAcentral.
GUGGGGAAUAUUGGACAAUGGGCGCAAGCCUGAUCCAGCCAUGCCGCGUGAGUGAUGAAGGCCCUAGGGUUGUAAAGCUCUUUCACCGGUGAAGAUAAUGACGGUAACCGGAGAAGAAGCCCCGGCUAACUUCGUGCCAGCAGCCGCGGUAAUACGAAGGGGGCUAGCGUUGUUCGGAAUUACUGGGCGUAAAGCGCACGUAGGCGGGUAUUUAAGUCAGGGGUGAAAUCCCGGAGCUCAACUCCGGAACUGCCUUUGAUACUGGGUACCUAGAGUAUGGAAGAGGUAAGUGGAAUUCCGAGUGUAGAGGUGAAAUUCGUAGAUAUUCGGAGGAACACCAGUGGCGAAGGCGGCUUACUGGUCCAUUACUGACGCUGAGGUGCGAAAGCGUGGGGAGCAAACAGGAUUAGAAACCCUGGUAGUCC